AAAAAAUAAAAUAUUUUUUUAAAAAAAUUGAACAAAAACAAAACAGACUCUCUCUCAUACUCCUCUCAAUCCCUAGUCUUCACUUCCCAAACCAACCUGAGUUUGUUGGUAAUCCUUUCAGAUGUUUUGAAAAUGCAUAAACACACAACAUAUUCGUGUUUACUUAACAAGGACAUUAUUCUGUAGUUACUGAUCUGAUGCUUCCCUUUAGUGUUUAAUAUCUUGGAGAUCAUUUCAAAUUCCAUGAAUCUCCAUUAUCACGCGUGGUACUUCAUUCCAUUGCAUGGCACACUGUAUUUAUUUGUUUUGCUGUAACUUGGUGCAGUGAAAUCAAGUGCACUUUUGACCACUUAUGUAUUUGCAUAAGAUAAACUCC
RNAcentral lists this long non-coding RNA (376 nucleotides) under Marmota monax (woodchuck). The record is from RNAcentral. Lineage: Eukaryota; Metazoa; Chordata; Mammalia; Rodentia; Sciuridae.